This 1023-nucleotide long non-coding RNA is filed under the name Anser brachyrhynchus (Pink-footed goose). Its description in RNAcentral is "lncRNA (ENSABRG00000001046.1)". The record is from RNAcentral. Lineage: Eukaryota; Metazoa; Chordata; Aves; Anseriformes; Anatidae.
CCUCCCCGAGCCCCGCUGCCUCCCGCCUCCCUCCUCCCCGGCGCCCGCCUCCCCGCGGCGUGCCCGCCUCCCUCCCUCCGUCCCCCGGCCGGCAGCCGGGCAGCGGGCGGGCGCUGCCGCCGGCCCCACAGCACCGCGGCCGGGCUGCGCGGAGCGGAGCGGAGCGGAGCGGGGCUGGCUGGGCGGGGAGGGAGGGAGGGAGGGGAGUGGAUGUGUGUGUGUGUGGAAAGAGCGGGGGGGGGCGAAGGGGGGGAAAUCAAAUAAAUAAAUAAGCUCCCCACCAAUAAGAGAGGCAGCGGCUGGCGAGCAGGCUGGGCUCGGCUGGGAGAGGUCCUCGCUCGGCUGCGUGUUUGUUUGUGUUGUGACCAGAGCCGCGAAGUUCAGAGCCCAAACGUGUUGCUCCGCUCCGCUCCACCUGCUCGGCCGGCGGGGGGGUGCCGCUUCGGCCGCCCCGCCGCCCUCCGGGGCCGAAGGACGGGAGAGGAGCGCGGGGCCGCGCCCGCCGCCCGCCCGCCUUCCCCUCAGCCACCGCCGGGGAGGCGACGGACAGGUGUAUCUCCAGAAAAACAAAAAAUUAAUGACAGGAUCAGAAUACACUCUGGAUUUUCUUCCCAUGUGCAGACUACACCUGAAGUGUUGAAUUCACAUACAGCAACACCUUCCUGUAAUGUCCACUGCUGUGCCUUCUGACUUCAAAGAAAAUUGUCAUCUGCUGGAGGAGUGUCAUUUCUCAUGUCUCAUAAGAGGACAGCGUGGCACCUCCACAUCUGUUUCCACAUUUCUAAAGGAAGACAUGUUCCAGUAUUUACUAAGCCAGACUUCAGUGGGAAUAGUCAUCUGCUUAAUAGCCUACUCUGUCUUAAUGUAUUUCUUUUAAUGUAAGAUGUGCUAUAAGUGAAAGUGACAGAUUAAAAAUGAUUAAAUACCUGUUGUAUUGCAUCGUGUUGUACUUCUGGUGCAGUGCAUUUCACUGGGAAACAUUGCAGUUUUAAGCUAAUAAAAAAUCAUGAAGACUGCUUUGGC